Molecule: small nucleolar RNA, 202 nt
Organism: Cyanistes caeruleus (blue tit)
Lineage: Eukaryota; Metazoa; Chordata; Aves; Passeriformes; Paridae
Gene: SNORA74
Rfam family: Small nucleolar RNA SNORA74
About the family: U19 belongs to the H/ACA class of snoRNAs. snoRNAs bind a number of proteins (including dyskerin, Gar1p and Nop10p in the case of the H/ACA class) to form snoRNP complexes. This class are thought to guide the sites of modification of uridines to pseudouridines by forming direct base pairing interactions with substrate RNAs.
Source: Ensembl
CCCAGCAGUAGUCAGCUGCGCUGGCUGCUCGGUGCCCGUGCCAGUGUUACACUGCUGGGAGAGAAAGGUGCUGCUGAGCUCUCCUGGCACCAGCGGGGCCGUCUUGGCACUCUGUGAUGCCAGGUUUUGGCAGCACCGUGCAUGCCAGAGAGUGGAGUAACUCCUGCCCGUGGAGUUAGAGCCUAGAUUGGAUGCAGACAAC